AGGCCAGGAUCUGGUCCAGACUGGUUUGUAUAGGAGCGUCGGGUUCGUCCACCUCACGUCCCGCCAAGUGACUGUAGAGGACUCGAACAUCCUGGACAGGAAGCACACUGCUCUGAUAACGUCAGCUCAUUCAAUCAAAAUCUAUUAAAACUACAAAACGAUUUCCAUCUCGGCCUUGGUCAGGUUGGCGUCGUCGAUGACUUUGUACAGAGAGCUGAUCUCCUCCUCCACCGCCUUCCUGAAGGGCUGCUCAUUUUCGUACCUGAAGGACCAAGAUUCUCAAAUAUCUGAGUGCCCUUGAAUGCCCCAGCCGAUGAGCGUCCAGGUUACGUGCAGUAACGUGUGCGAGACCUCUGACCUGUCCUUGAAGUCCUCGGCAUUGGCCUGAACGUUCUCCGUCUGCAGCAUGAGGCGAGCGUUACCCAGGAUGGCUUCACUGACCUGCAG
Monopterus albus (swamp eel) is the source of this 447-nucleotide long non-coding RNA. RefSeq lists it as uncharacterized. The transcript has 3 exons. NCBI's taxonomy places the organism in Eukaryota, Metazoa, Chordata, Actinopteri, Synbranchiformes, Synbranchidae. The record is from RefSeq and is a predicted model, not a curated record.